RNAcentral lists this ribosomal RNA (776 nucleotides) under Pseudocercospora bixae. Its description in RNAcentral is "eukaryotic LSU rRNA". It matches the Rfam family "Eukaryotic large subunit ribosomal RNA", at positions 99 to 907 of the family's 3401-position model. The record is from RNAcentral. Lineage: Eukaryota; Fungi; Ascomycota; Dothideomycetes; Mycosphaerellales; Mycosphaerellaceae.
CGGCAACAGCUCAAAUUUGAAAUCUGGCGCAAGCCCGAGUUGUAAUUUGUAGAGGAUGCUUCUGGGUAGCGGCCGGUCUAAGUUCCUUGGAACAGGACGUCAUAGAGGGUGAGAAUCCCGUAUGUGACUGGCUUGCACCCUCCACGUAGCUCCUUCGACGAGUCGAGUUGUUUGGGAAUGCAGCUCUAAAUGGGAGGUAAAUUUCUUCUAAAGCUAAAUACCGGCCAGAGACCGAUAGCGCACAAGUAGAGUGAUCGAAAGAUGAAAAGCACUUUGGAAAGAGAGUUAAAAAGCACGUGAAAUUGUUGAAAGGGAAGCGCCCGCAACCAGACUUUGCGGCAGUGUUCGGCCGGUCUUCUGACCGGUUUACUCGCUGUCGUGAGGCCAUCAUCGUCUGGGACCGCUGGAUAAGACCUUAGGAAUGUAGCUUCCCUCGGGAAGUGUUAUAGCCUCUGGUGAUGCAGCGCGUCUCGGGCGAGGUCCGCGCUUCGGCAAGGAUGAUGGCGUAAUGGUUGUCGGCGGCCCGUCUUGAAACACGGACCAAGGAGUCUAACAUCUAUGCGAGUGUUCGGGUGUCAAACCCCUACGCGUAAUGAAAGUGAACGGAGGUGGGAACUUUUUGUGCACCAUCGACCGAUCCUGAUGUCCUCGGAUGGAUUUGAGUAAGAGCAUAGCUGUUGGGACCCGAAAGAUGGUGAACUAUGCCUGAAUAGGGUGAAGCCAGAGGAAACUCUGGUGGAGGCUCGCAGCGGUUCUGACGUGCAAAUCGAUCGUCA